CCCUUAGAUGUUCUGGGCUGCACGCGCGCUACACUGAUGCUUUCAUCGAGUAUAUAACCUUACCAGACAUGGUUGGGUAAUCUUUUGAAACAGCAUCGUGAUGGGGAUAGAUUAUUGUAAUUAUUAGUCCUCAACGAGGAAUUCCUAGUAAGCGCGAAUCAUCAGUUCGUGCUGAUUACGUCCCUGCCCUUUGUACACACCGCCCGUCGCUCCUACCGAUUGAGUAAUCCGGUGAAUAAUUCGGACCGAUUGCGAUGUCAGUUCCUGGCGCCGCAGACGGAAAGUCUAGUGAACCUUAUUACUUAGAGGAAGGAGAAGUCGUAACA
Molecule: ribosomal RNA, 326 nt
Filed under: uncultured eukaryote
Lineage: Eukaryota
Description: partial 18S ribosomal RNA
Rfam family: Eukaryotic small subunit ribosomal RNA
Source: RNAcentral